RNAcentral lists this ribosomal RNA (253 nucleotides) under uncultured bacterium. Its description in RNAcentral is "partial 16S ribosomal RNA". It matches the Rfam family "Bacterial small subunit ribosomal RNA", at positions 524 to 776 of the family's 1533-position model. The record is from RNAcentral.
UACGAAGGGGGCUAGCGUUGCUCGGAAUCACUGGGCGUAAAGCGCACGUAGGCGGGUCGUUAAGUCGGGGGUGGAAUCCUGGAGCUCAACUCCAGAACUGCCUUCGAUACUGGCGAUCUUGAGUCUGGGAGAGGUGAGUGGAACUCCGAGUGUAGAGGUGAAAUUCGUAGAUAUUCGGAAGAACACCAGUGGCGAAGGCGGCUCACUGGCCCGGUACUGACGCUGAGGUGCGAAAGCGUGGGGAGCAAACAGG